This 277-nucleotide long non-coding RNA is filed under the name Mus musculus (house mouse). RNAcentral's name for it is "long non-coding RNA chr12:84274600-84274877". The record is from RNAcentral. Lineage: Eukaryota; Metazoa; Chordata; Mammalia; Rodentia; Muridae.
GCCGGGCGUGGUGGUGCACGCCUUUAAUCCCAGCACUCGGGAGGCAGAGGCAGGCAGAUUUCUGAGUUUGAGGCCAGUCUGGUCUACAAAGUAAGCUCCAGGAUAGCCAGGGCUAUUCAGAGAAACCCUGUCUAGAAAAACCAAAAAAAAAAAAAAAAGAAAGAAAAGAAAAGAAAAGAAAACCUUGAUGUAUCACUUUUUUUCUUUUUUGGAUGGGGUCUCACUUGGAACUUCUAAUGUAGUCCAUACUGGCCUCAAAUCAGAGAUCCACCUGCCU